UCCACUUUUGGUGCUUGGGACAUUUGCAAAUGUUGCUGAGUUUCGCAUAGCUACAAUUCUUGAGACAUAAAAAUGUCUUCAGUCCAGAAUUGAAGUAUACACAUAAUAUACUUCCAUAAGAUUAUCCAAGCCAAGAAAAGCACCUUCAAUUUUAUAACUUAUUACAGAUUACAACAUUUGCCAACUAGUAACACAAACUGCUGCAGGAGGCAUUAUUCAGUCUCUUACUUACUGUUUGAUAACUCUUUGUUUCACAAAAAGAGAAGAUGUAUAUGAGGCAGGAUAUAGAAUACUGCACCAAAAAUAUGAAAGC
This 313-nucleotide unclassified non-coding RNA is filed under the name Hevea brasiliensis (rubber tree). Lineage: Eukaryota; Viridiplantae; Streptophyta; Magnoliopsida; Malpighiales; Euphorbiaceae. The record is from RNAcentral.